UAUGGCCAUGUCAUGUUGAAACAGCAGUUCCUGUAUGAUCACUGAAGUUAAGCAAUACCAAGCCUGGUCAGUACCCAGAUGGGUAACUGCUUGGGAAUACCAGGUGAUGUAAG
Acanthosepion pharaonis is the source of this 113-nucleotide non-coding RNA. NCBI's taxonomy places the organism in Eukaryota, Metazoa, Mollusca, Cephalopoda, Sepiida, Sepiidae. The record is from the annotation of a GenBank genome assembly.